Molecule: unclassified non-coding RNA, 180 nt
Organism: Pogona vitticeps (central bearded dragon)
Lineage: Eukaryota; Metazoa; Chordata; Lepidosauria; Squamata; Agamidae
Source: Ensembl
UUGACAACACUGGAGGCUGAAGCCCUCUAUUUAUCCACAGAACAGAUACAGCAUGGGCGGCAGCAGGGCAAGCUUCCCCACACUGCCCCCACCAAUGUGCCUCAUCUUUGUCCUGGAGGGAGCACCUCUAGAGGUGAGAGGAUAGAUUGGUCUCCAUGACCCAUUCAGUCCUUGGCCUUU